Molecule: long non-coding RNA, 829 nt
Filed under: Malus domestica (apple)
Lineage: Eukaryota; Viridiplantae; Streptophyta; Magnoliopsida; Rosales; Rosaceae
Description: long non-coding RNA (MDOM_LNC006149)
Source: RNAcentral
CAUCGUGGGGUUAUAUCCUCAUCUCCACUCUUUGGUCCAAAUCCUUGCACGUACGGUGUUCCGUUCGUUGUAGUUUCUAAAUUUCCUACUAUUGUAUCCUUUCUCCAGGGAUUGAUCAAGAAACUUUUCUAGGAAAAAUUAAUUGAUACGACGUGUAAGAAAUUCAACGUGACAGAAAAUUCAAGAAACAAAUGCGAGAGGCUUCUUCGAGUGUUUUGGCUCUCAAUGAAAGCACCAAUUUGUGGAUGCAAAUUUUCGCCAUCUUCAGUCUUGACAACAAUUCACCUGCAAAACAAUUAACACAUUUGAUCAGAGACCUAAGUCUCAUCCACCCACGAGGUGGGGGGUUAGGUCAAUGGAUCUCUGAUGCCUAAAUUAGUUUCUCUGAGAUAGUAAAGUGUUUUGAGGCUUUUUAGGGUUGUCAAAAGCUCUCUGAAAAUGGUAGAGUAUGGGGUAUUUAUAGGGCUUGGACCGGCCAUAUAGGGUCUAAUAGAGAAAAUAUUCUCUAAAUAUUCCUAAGAUAUUUAAAAUGAGAUAAUAUCUUGAGAUAAUAGGGUAAUAAUCCUUAAUUGAUUUAAAUUAGGAUUACUUACUUGAUUGGUGUCAAUUUUCAAUUAGGAAUGUAUUAAAGAUAGGAUUUGGGUAAUUAAUCCUUAUCUUUAAUUCCUUGCCAUACACAGGUGAGCUGUGGGCAGUGGUGUUCAGCUGCUAAGUCCUUUAGGGAUGUGAGCUGCGCGUGGGAGAAUUUAAGAAGCCUGCCCAUUUAUUAAGGGCAAUCUUGUCCUUCUUGAAUAAAAGUUGACGUGUCGCCACUGGAAUUUUUGGGAUU